This 371-nucleotide ribosomal RNA is filed under the name uncultured organism. RNAcentral describes it as "bacterial SSU rRNA". It matches the Rfam family "Bacterial small subunit ribosomal RNA", at positions 526 to 896 of the family's 1533-position model. The record is from RNAcentral.
CGUAGGGUGCAAGCGUUAAUCGGAAUUACUGGGCGUAAAGCGUGCGCAGGCGGUUUUCCAAGACCGAUGUGAAAUCCCCGGGCUUAACCUGGGAAUGGCAUUGGUGACUGGGAGGCUAGAGUGUGUCAGAGGGGGGUAGAAUUCCACGUGUAGCAGUGAAAUGCGUAGAGAUGUGGAGGAAUACCGAUGGCGAAGGCAGCCCCCUGGGAUAACACUGACGCUCAGGCACGAAAGCGUGGGGAGCAAACAGGAUUAGAUACCCUGGUAGUCCACGCCCUAAACGAUGUCAACUAGUUGUCGGGUCUUAAUUGACUUGGUAACGCAGCUAACGCGUGAAGUUGACCGCCGUGGGGAGUACGGUCGCAAGAUUA